UAAAUGUACUAAUAAGAGGUACGUUUGCAGCAGAACUGCAGAAACUUUCUUUACUUUACAUUGUGACACUGAGAUAUUUGUCAGUCUACUUGUUGCACUGUCUGUAGUAAAUCUUUACUUCCUGGCAAAAAGGUUUUUAGGUUUUGACCACUUCCUGUGAUCAGUACAAUGCUGCCUAAUAUGGACUACAUCAUUUCACCUGUCAGUAUAUACUUAGUAUAUAAUCGAACGUCUCUGGCGAGAUGUCUUCAGAGCGGUCACUUGCCUUUUCUACAGUGCUGCACCAGCUGGAGGAGGAAGGUCUCCUUGACCUGUCCAGUAGUCUUCACCUAUUCUGCUGCCAUUACGUCUUUAUUCCCCCCUUGCAAGCCCAGCUUGAUGUAUUCACAGAUGGCUGGGACGAUCAUCUCCUUUCAACUGAGAGAAAUCUCACUCCCAACCAACUGUGGCACAUGAGACAACUACACAACUCUGAAGAGUACAACGAUGAGGAUUUGCACAUCCCUCGGAUUGACUGGGAGAGUAGUGGCCUUAUACCCUCUGAUCCCAACUGUGGUGUCCAUGUCCCUGAGAGGGAUUGCCCUUUGACCCCCCCUGGCUGGACUUUGUGCUGCUGUGGACCCAAUGGGACCCUCAACAUGCAUGGGAGUUGACAGAUACUUAUCUGCACUGGAGUAUAUGCACAGCAUUGGCUAUGUGUAGACUCUAUGAACUGCUUCUCAUAUCCCACAGAAAAAACAACCCUACACAAAUGUUGUGGUAGCUGGAUGGGUGAGUUCACGAGCAAGGACUGAAGACUAUGAAGGAUCUUUGUUAUUAAUGCAGUGUGAUUGAAUUUUGUGGGAUAGCUGAAAAUUAGAACUUAUGUUAUUCCCAUUCUUUAUCUACUCUUUGCAUACAUACAUUUACAACUUACAAUUACACCCAAAGAUUUGUGUUUUAACUGCUUGCACGUGUUUAAGUAUGCUUGUAGGCUACAGUCAAAGCACUUCUGACUCCUGACCUGUUUUUAUCAAUCCAAACCAUAACAGCCUUUUUAUGUUGGUGUUUUUCUGAUGAAGUCAUGCAGCAUAAUUGGACAGAAUGGUAAAUCUACUUGAAUGUUUUAGAUACAAUGUAAUGGUUUUUGUAAAUAAUGAUCUUGUAUUUUUGUUUUCUAAUGUCACAGUCCCCUUCUUUAAUGUGGUUAAUUUAAUAAUUUUCUCUGUAAAUGGAAUAAAACUGAUAAAAAUGUUAAAAAAAUA
Micropterus salmoides (largemouth bass) is the source of this 1244-nucleotide long non-coding RNA. RefSeq lists it as uncharacterized. The transcript has 3 exons. The record is from RefSeq and is a predicted model, not a curated record. NCBI's taxonomy places the organism in Eukaryota, Metazoa, Chordata, Actinopteri, Centrarchiformes, Centrarchidae.